RNAcentral lists this non-coding RNA (294 nucleotides) under Nippostrongylus brasiliensis. RNAcentral describes it as "Eukaryotic large subunit ribosomal RNA". It matches the Rfam family "Eukaryotic large subunit ribosomal RNA", at positions 675 to 954 of the family's 3401-position model. The record is from Rfam by way of RNAcentral. Lineage: Eukaryota; Metazoa; Nematoda; Chromadorea; Rhabditida; Heligmosomidae.
GUAACUUGUACGCGAGUCAAAGGGUGAAAAACCCCAAGGCGCAAUGAAAGUAAAGGUCGGUUAACCGACUGAGAUGGGAUCCGUUUCGUUUUGAAGCGGCGCACCAUGGACUUGUCUUGUCUGCUGGGGCAGCGGUAGAGCGUACAGGUUGCGACCUGAAAGAUGGUGAACUAUGCCUGAGCAGGACGAAGUCAGAGGAAACUCUGGUGGAAGUCCGUAUCGGUUCUGACGUGCAAAUCGAUUGAUAGACUUGGGUAUAGGGGCGAAAGACUAAUCGAACCAUCUAGUAGCUGG